RNAcentral lists this ribosomal RNA (252 nucleotides) under uncultured bacterium. RNAcentral describes it as "partial 16S ribosomal RNA". It matches the Rfam family "Bacterial small subunit ribosomal RNA", at positions 525 to 776 of the family's 1533-position model. The record is from RNAcentral.
ACGUAGGGUGCGAGCGUUAAUCGGAAUUACUGGGCGUAAAGCGUGCGCAGGCGGCACUGUAAGACAGAUGUGAAAUCCCCGGGCUCAACCUGGGAACUGCAUUUGUGACUGCAGAGCUAGAGUGUGUCAGAGGGGGGUGGAAUUCCACGUGUAGCAGUGAAAUGCGUAGAGAUGUGGAGGAACACCGAUGGCGAAGGCAGCCCCCUGGGAUAACACUGACGCUCAGGCACGAAAGCGUGGGGAGCAAACAGG